CGGCGUGCCUAACACAUGCAAGUCGUACGAGAAAGCCGGCUUCGGCUGGUGAGUAAAGUGGCGCACGGGUGGGUAACGCGUGGAUAAUCUGCCCUUAAGUGUGGAAUAACGUACCGAAAGGUGCGCUAAUACCGCAUAAUGCCUGGCAACACAAGUUGUCCGGCCAAAGAAGGCCUCUGUUUACAAGCUUUCGCUUCAGGAUGAGUCCGCGUACCAUUAGCUUGUUGGUGGGGUAAUGGCCUACCAAGGCUGCGAUGGUUAGCUGGUCUGAGAGGAUGAUCAGCCACACUGGAACUGAGACACGGUCCAGACUCCUACGGGAGGCAGCAGUGAGGAAUAUUGCGCAAUGGGGGCAACCCUGACGCAGCAACGCCGCGUGAGUGAGGAAGGUUUUCGGACUGUAAAGCUCUGUCGAGCGGGAAGAAGUGUACCAUGGCUAAUAUCCAUGAUAUUUGACGGUACCGCUAGAGGAAGCACCGGCUAACUCCGUG
This 491-nucleotide ribosomal RNA is filed under the name uncultured bacterium. Its description in RNAcentral is "bacterial SSU rRNA". It matches the Rfam family "Bacterial small subunit ribosomal RNA", at positions 40 to 507 of the family's 1533-position model. The record is from RNAcentral.